Molecule: ribosomal RNA, 500 nt
Filed under: uncultured Glomeromycotina
Lineage: Eukaryota; Fungi; Glomeromycota
Description: partial small subunit ribosomal RNA
Rfam family: Eukaryotic small subunit ribosomal RNA
Source: RNAcentral
CCAAUAGCGUAUAUUAAAGUUGUUGCAGUUAAAAAGCUCGUAGUUGAACCUUAGGCCCGUGCGGGCGGUCCGUCCUCUGGGCGAGCACUGCUCCGUCGCGGGUCUCACCUUCUGGCGAGCGUGGAUGCCAUUUAUUUGGUGUCCGCGGGAACCAGGACCUUUACCUUGAAAAAAUUAGAGUGCUCAAAGCGGGCUCCGACGCUUGAAUACAUUAGCAUGGAAUAAUGAAAUAGGACGAUGGUUCUAUUUUGUUGGUUUCCGGGACCGUCGUAAUGAUUUAUAGGGAUAGUUGGGGGCAUUCGUAUUCAAUUGUCAGAGGUGAAAUUCUUGGAUUUAUUGAAGACGAACUACUGCGAAAGCAUUUGCCAAGGAUGUUUUCAUUAAUCAAGAACGAAAGUUGGGGGAUCGAAGACGAUCAGAUACCGUCGUAGUCUCAACCAUAAACUAUGCCGACUGGGAAUCGGGCGAUGUUACUUUUCUGACUCGCUCGGCGCCCCGAG